RNAcentral lists this ribosomal RNA (505 nucleotides) under uncultured bacterium. RNAcentral describes it as "partial 16S ribosomal RNA". It matches the Rfam family "Bacterial small subunit ribosomal RNA", at positions 28 to 507 of the family's 1533-position model. The record is from RNAcentral.
GACGAACGCUGGCGGCGCGCCUAAUACAUGCAAGUAGAACGCACAGUUUAUACCGUAGCUUGCUACACCAUAGACUGUGAGUUGCGAACGGGUGAGUAACGCGUAGGUAACCUGCCUGGUAGCGGGGGAUAACUAUUGGAAACGAUAGCUAAUACCGCAUAAUAUUAAUUAUUGCAUGAUAAUUAAUUGAAAGGUGCAAUUGCACCACUACCAGAUGGACCUGCGUUGUAUUAGCUAGUAGGUGAGGUAACGGCUCACCUAGGCGACGAUACAUAGCCGACCUGAGAGGGUGAUCGGCCACACUGGGACUGAGACACGGCCCAGACUCCUACGGGAGGCAGCAGUAGGGAAUCUUCGGCAAUGGACGAAAGUCUGACCGAGCAACGCCGCGUGAGUGAAGAAGGUUUUCGGAUCGUAAAGCUCUGUUGUAAGAGAAGAACGGGUGUGAGAGUGGAAAGUUCACACUGUGACGGUAUCUUACCAGAAAGGGACGGCUAACUACGUG